RNAcentral lists this long non-coding RNA (206 nucleotides) under Setaria italica (foxtail millet). RNAcentral's name for it is "long non-coding RNA (SITA_LNC007033)". Lineage: Eukaryota; Viridiplantae; Streptophyta; Magnoliopsida; Poales; Poaceae. The record is from RNAcentral.
UUCAUUGAUUCAUUCAUCCAUUCAGCUUUGAAAUCGGAGACAAGGAAAACAACUUCAUAGAAGUGCCGCGGAUCAAUAUAGAGAUGCGAACCAAUAUCCUUUUCCUGGUGGACUCUGAAGUACUCGUCUUUUGCACAAGGCCUCGUGUCAAAUAACAUCAAACCACAUCCAUGUCCUCCUACCUCGCCCAUUUGCUGAGAUCAUCU